Molecule: long non-coding RNA, 823 nt
Filed under: Sarcophilus harrisii (Tasmanian devil)
Lineage: Eukaryota; Metazoa; Chordata; Mammalia; Dasyuromorphia; Dasyuridae
Description: lncRNA (ENSSHAG00000000986.2)
Source: RNAcentral
UCUAAAUCAUUUCUCUACCCUCCUCCUUAUCAGUAUAAGUAGGGGCCCUGAGCUACCACUCUGGUUAGCGCAGAAGUCACCCUUUUUGCCCUACAAAAUGUCUCUUCUCCAAGCAACAGUGAGAUGCGGCCUUACUGCCUUAUUCCUGGGGUUCUGCCUACAACUAGUCAUUGGGCAAGAUGAUGAAAACCGGAAGCCACUUGUCCUGAAAAUAAGCCCAAUACCAAGUGCUAAAAGAAAUGAACUAUGGGAAUUAAGAUGUAAUGUUUCAACUGAAGCAAGAGAAUGUGUGCCAAUGCUAAUAUAUCCUGGGACCACCUCAUCCACUAAUUGUGCUUAUAAGGCAUACUCAUAUAAAGCGUGUAUAUGCCCAGGAGACAGGGCAAGAAACUUCUACUGGGACAUAUGCAGCCAAAAUGAUGUAUAUGUGUAUUGUGAAGCUACUACUAUUUUAGAAAAUGGCAUCUUUGAUUGCAUUCCUCCCCCACAAUACCUACAAUUAAUGCCUGUAUACCUUAUAAUAAAGUUGAGUGAUCUCAAUAAUAUUUUUUCUUUCUCAUAACAAACACUAUGGAUUUCUAGGAUGUCGUUUUUUUUAAAAAAAUACUUUCAUAGCUAGGUGUGGUAGCCUGUUUCUGUAUUUCCUGCUACUAGGAAGAUCGAGGCUGGUAUAUCUCCUGAGCCCUGGAUUCUGAACUGGGUUAAGUAGAUGGAAUUGGCCCAAGUCAGAAAAAUGGAGCAAAUUAAAGUUCCCGUGAUGAUUGAUAUUAGAAUAAAGCCAAUGUACUUUCAUUUUGGGCAAGAUAGCACAGCUAAUCUAGAA